CCCAAGUAGUCGACGCUUAAAGAGUCAAAUCGAAAUUUGAACUGCUACUCCAGUCCCAGAUCUCAAUUUAUUCAUUCGUUUCCUAAACAUCGUGGAAGUAACACCUUGGCGGCUAAAGCUUUAGGCAAUGAAAUGUGCGGAAGAAACCUAUGGACAAUAACAAUGCUGGCUAUCCGCGUCUAUAUAUAAACACCCAUACAAAUCGUAACAAAAUGGAACAAAACUACAUGUACCUGGACUGUCGCAAUGCUGGAUAAAAUAACAUAAUCCCAUCAUAAUUAUUUUAUUCUCAACACUACAAAAAAGGAAUACAAUUAACUAAUAUGAAUAUGUGGACUGUGGUGAUGGUGGUACUAAGAAUGAUGCUAUACAAGAAAUAUACUUUCCGGCACGAACAAAAACAAUGAUUACAAGAAUUUACCCUUGAAAUCAAAAUUCUGUAAGAAUUUUCACACUGGCUCACUCUCAAAUACAACACAUAUUUAAAUGCACACAUUACAUAUUACAUUUCAAUGUUAAAAGAUCGUAUUGACAUUAAACGUUUACAAUUACUCUUACUCAUCUCAUUGUUAAUAAAAUGUUCGCUCCA
Long non-coding RNA from Drosophila gunungcola (fruit fly), 589 nucleotides. RefSeq lists it as uncharacterized. The transcript has 3 exons. Lineage: Eukaryota; Metazoa; Arthropoda; Insecta; Diptera; Drosophilidae. The record is from RefSeq and is a predicted model, not a curated record.